CCUCAAAAACACUCAGGGAUUUGAAACCAGCUUAAAGAUAAAUUUUGCUCUUUGUGCUUAACGCAAGCAAAGAGAACGAUUCCUAAGUCUCUGGGUGCCUUUUUCCAAUCUGUUGGUUCGUUGACGAGAAGGGAUGGACACAUUUACUUGCUCUAUUAAACUUGGAAUGAGAAACUUGUGGAGAACUUUGACAGGACACAAGCGGGAGAGAGAAGUCUCUCUUUUCAUCUGGGUGAUGAGCAAACUGGACUGGGUGAGGGACUCGGUUUAACCAAGGCCUGCCAACAAGAGCCAGCUGUGACCGUUCUCAGGCAGUCACGUGAGAGCACAAGCCACCCAGAACGAACUACCAAGUAUGGCGGCUGGAAUUGGUUUGACCAACAGGACAUGAGCAAGUGUUUUAUCUGGAACUUCCUAGAAACAACUGAAAGAGAAUGGACUGUUAGAAUACUUGGACUUUUGACCUUCUUUAGUUUCAGUAACUGGCCUGAAACUCACAUAAAAUGACUAACGACUACUUGGGGACUUGAGCUGACUUUGAAGCUGGAAAUCGCAUACUGAAAAAGAGAAGGCAAACUUGGAGCUUGGGUCUUCGUGGUCUUGGGAGACGGGUGGCGGGGACAUCAACAUCCUUUGACUGCUUGCUGUGUGUGUGAUGGGAGUAUGCAUGGGAGUACACGCAGAGGACAAAGAUGAUGCUGGGUGUUAGGAGUCUUCCUUGAUCGUUCUUUACCAUUCAUUCACUCAUUCAUUCAUUCGUCUCUCGCUGAACAUGGAGCUCACUGUUUCAGCGAGGCUGGCUGGCCAGUGAGCUCCGGGAUCUUGUCCCCAGCUGUGGUUACAGUUUCAUGCCACCACAUUCAGCUUUUACAUGGUACUGGGGCUGGGGUCCUUGUGUUUUCACAGCCACCCACCAAGCCACCUCCUCCGCCCCCAACACUUCUUUGUUUAUUGUUGCUGUAAACAGGGCCUUGCUAUGCAGCUGGGGCUAACUCAAUCACAUUGCAACCUGUCUACCUCUGCCUCCUGAGCGCUGGGUUACAAAAGUGCACCGCCACAUCCGGCCUUAGACUUCUUAGAUCAGCGACAAACUUCUGUCUUGUUUAAGUUCCUGCUGUUUUUAAUUUUCUUUUAACCAGGCGGCCUAAUCCUCUGUAGCUAAAAGUGUGUUCCGAGGAGCCAAUACUCAAAGCCAUUUCCCUCCCUCCCACAGUAUGUUUGCGUUCCAUAGACUAAAUGACGUUUGGGUCCAAAACAAGGAAAUUAGUUCAUGAAUUCAGAAAACAAGACUGUCUUAAUUAUGUGUGCCAAGCCCUGGGAGCCAGCCCAGCACUCAAUGUUUUUUGUUUUGUUUUGCUCGUUUGUUUAAGCUAAGAUACAGAGUCCCUAUGGAAAGAAAGAAAGGAGGAUGGCAGCAUAAAUCAACAAUGGGUGUUUUAUUGUGACAAGAUGCCUGACCAAAAAAUACCUCAAAGAAGAACUCGGCUCACAGCUCAAGGGUGUAGUCCAUAUUGGUGAUGUCAUGGUGAUAGGAAUGUGAAGCUGCCGCUCACACAUCAGUGUCAGCGGCAGUCAGGAAGCCAAGCUGGUGAGCACUGGAGGGAGUCCUCCUUCCUCCACAGUCUGAUGGCACCCCCAUUCAGGUGGUCUACCUAGCCCAAUUAACUCACCCUAGAAAAUCUCUCAAAACAUUCCCAGAGUCUGGUCUCCUGGGUGAUUCUAGAUCCUGCCAAAUUGUCAAUCAAUAUAAAUCAUUAUAGAGGGAUUGUUAGAUGUUGAAAACGUUGAGGAAGUUUUACUUAAUUCUGCCGGGGGUGGGCCGGAGCCACGGAAAACCCACGAAUGCUUGGCAAAGAUUCGUCUGUACAUAUGCUAUAGUAAGUGGUUAGAUUGCGGCAAGCUAAAUUUCUUCAGUGGGAGAAGAGAAAGCAGACACAAUGAGCCGUUCCAGACAUGGAGAUUAGUUCACAACCAGCACUCCUAGAGUAGAGCCCCUGAGGACCCUCCAAGAGAUGAGGGGACCUAAAUGCAUCUGUUCACACAAAUGUGGAAAGACGGGAGUUUCUUGCUAAUUAAAAUGAGCCUUUCUGUCA
Molecule: long non-coding RNA, 2093 nt
Organism: Mesocricetus auratus (golden hamster)
Lineage: Eukaryota; Metazoa; Chordata; Mammalia; Rodentia; Cricetidae
Exons: 3
Source: RefSeq, a predicted model, not a curated record